GUUUUCACUCUUUUUGUUUGAAGGCCAAUGUGGUAAGGGGUUUUCGCUUUUUCUUCUGUCUCGUUCUUGUUGGUGUAGGCAUCCUCUCUUUGGCCAAAUAGUGCCUUUCUCAAUAGUCUCUUUUUCUUUCUUUUCCAAGUAAUUCUACUGGUAGCUAAUUUAUCUUCUCUCCUUUUUCAUUCAUUCUUUCUUUAUCUUCUACCGAAACCUCU
RNAcentral lists this long non-coding RNA (212 nucleotides) under Gossypium raimondii (Peruvian cotton). RNAcentral describes it as "long non-coding RNA (GRAI_LNC002821)". The record is from RNAcentral. Lineage: Eukaryota; Viridiplantae; Streptophyta; Magnoliopsida; Malvales; Malvaceae.